UUGUCAGGUGGUGAUUGUCUAUUUUUCCUUAAAUGAUGAUGCCGAGGGGAGGCGGUCUGCGCAAUGCCGUUUUCCCGCCAUUCUUGCAA
Molecule: non-coding RNA, 89 nt
Filed under: unclassified sequences
Description: S6-S18-Chlorobi ribosomal protein leader
Rfam family: S6-S18-Chlorobi ribosomal protein leader
Source: RNAcentral